AGUCUCUGAGCGAAUAAUCAGGUAAAUAGACGUAAAUGAGAACGGCUCUACUAAUAUAUCGACCAGUUGAACGAUUAUCGUUCAGAAAAUACCAACAAUCUUUCAUACAUGUAUGUACACAUUUAUAAGCACAGAAAUAUAUAGAUAUUUUGAGGUCAUUGUACUCAUACACCAAACAAGACUUUCCUUUUCUGGCGCAUAGAUCUGAACGUAGUACACUUAUACAUACAGACCUAGUGGUACAUUUGUGCAGACCAUAGUAGAAGUAGAAACUGUAAGGAAGCUUUUACGAGGUCUCAUCACCCGAUUUAACACAACUUAAUUCUUGCUUGCCUUCAGGAGAGCUUAAAUGAUUGAGCGACCCUCCUCCGGUGUAACACCCUUAUUCGGCUCUUGUAAGCAGGCGAUCUAGCAAUGUUUGCGACUUUAAGAAAGGUUUACUUUUCCAGCUGAUGUGUUUCGGGAGCUCUGAAAGAUGUGGUAAGAGCUGUCCUCUCUCUUGUGAUGAAAUCAGAGAAAAUGGAAAUCUUUAUACAAAUUAUCGAGCCGACGCUUGGACGUAAAUGUGUUGACGUAUUUGCAUAAUUACACGUAUGCACACAUAUGCACACAAAUGUACGUAAUAUUGGUUUAAGAUUCUGGCACAAAGCCAGAAAGUUCGGGAAGGAAGAGCCAGCAAGUUGAGAAGAGGGAGUAAAUCGAUCACAUCGACUCCAGUGCAUAACAGGCACUUAUUUCUUCGACCCCGAAAGGAAGAAAGGCAAAGGCGACUUCGGCAGAAGGAAUUUGAACGUAAAGACUGAAGAAAUACCGCUAAGCAUUUCGUCCGGCGUGCUAACGAUUCUGCCAACUUGCCGCCUCACACACACACACACACACACACACACAAAAGUAUUAGUUUCAAAUUUUGGCACAAGGCCAGCAAAUUCAGGGGAAGUAGGUAAGUCAAAUACAUCGAACCCGGUGUUCAAAUGGUACUUCAUUUUAUCGACCUUGAAAGGAUGAAAGGCAAAGUCUACUAGAGGAAAACGGUGUUAAAGAAAAGAACAAUUAUUUCUGUGCUCAUCUGUAGACUUGCUUUUCUGGAGUAGCUUAGCGAACCGAGUAUCGAUUCUUUGUAUUUACAAAUCCACUGAUGACUACAUUCCAACACUUCGAAGGCAGAAUUUUAGUCGCAAAAAGGACUUGUAGACACUCAGUUGGAGACACAGCAGAAUGUGUGAAUUUUCCACGCCAGCUCAAUUUGAUUCGUUCUCAGUCGAAAGACGCCUGUUGUUAUAUCUUGUUGUUUGUAUUCGUAAUUGUGUACCAUGUUCUCCGUUGUUUUGCUUGAUCUUUUUGUCUUUGUUGCCAUAAACAUUCGCUAGCUUUCUUACAAAGGGGUAUAAUGGUCUUAGCUUAGACAUUUGUGGGGAAACCAGAUCGAACCAUCUCGAGUGUAACUGCCCGAAAUGAUCGUGACUUCUGGUACUUGACUGAUGAAAGAAACCCAAGAACGACCCGUCUUUUUUUGCCUGUCCUUCUUAUUGUUGUUUCUCUUGUCCGCCUUUGUAUCGUCUAUCUGUCCGAACGUUUUAAUGCUCUCUAUUGCGUUUUUCUUUCAUUUAUGUGUGUGUGUGUGUGUGUG
Octopus bimaculoides (California two-spot octopus) is the source of this 1627-nucleotide long non-coding RNA. RefSeq lists it as uncharacterized. The record is from RefSeq and is a predicted model, not a curated record. Lineage: Eukaryota; Metazoa; Mollusca; Cephalopoda; Octopoda; Octopodidae.